CGUGCAGACUCAGCCAUAAAUCCUGUAAAAAGGUAGGCUACCUUGAGAGGGUCAUCACACCCAAGUGUAAACGCCAGCACUUGGCUCUGUGGUCUGUAAUUAAACUAAGUACCGAUGCUUUAUAAGGUCGUGUUGCAGACGUAAAAAGCCCUUUGAAGUUUGUCGAGGCACACUUUAC
Molecule: non-coding RNA, 178 nt
Organism: Halothece sp. PCC 7418
Lineage: Bacteria; Bacillati; Cyanobacteriota; Cyanophyceae; Chroococcales; Halothecacae
Source: Rfam